Molecule: long non-coding RNA, 948 nt
Filed under: Canis lupus familiaris (dog)
Lineage: Eukaryota; Metazoa; Chordata; Mammalia; Carnivora; Canidae
Description: lncRNA (ENSCAFG00000059203.1)
Source: RNAcentral
GGAGUAAGUAACUCUCAGUUCUUAGAUGAAAAACUUGAAAACUUGAAUCCUAUAGACAGAACUCUCCACCUACAAGUACACUUUUGGUCACCACACUGAUACCGAGUCCAACAUAAAAUCUACAACAAAAAUCAAAAAAUCAACAACAAAAUCUAAAAUUUUGAAGGGCGGCAUGAAGUCGUGUGGCACUUAUCAAAUUCUCAGUGUGUGUCUCUCGUGAAUAAAUAAAUAAAAUCUUAAAAAAAAAAUCUGGGGAUCCCUGGAUGGUGCAGCGGUUUGGCGCCUGCCUUUGGCCCAGGCGCGAUCUUGGAGACCCUGGAUCGAAUCCCACGUCGGGCUCCCUAUAUGGAGCUUGCUUCUCCCUCUGCCUGUGUCUCUGCCUCUCUCUCUCUCUCUCUCUCUCUGUGUGUGUGUGACUAUCAUGAAUAAAUAAAUCUUUAAAAAAAAAAAAUCUGACUUACUGGCUUCUCAUAUGGAAAAAAGUGUAGAUCUCUGCCUACAACAUAAUAGGCACUCAAAGCAACGUCCCCUUUUCCUUGCCUCUGCCCACAGGCGGCCUCCUCCUCUUCCCCGGCUGGAUUGGAGUUUAUGAAACCAUCAGGUAAAGCGAUGCUGACAUCAGCCAAGUGUCUUUACACAAACAGGUAGCCCUGUCCUAUGUAUUAUGUCGUCAUCCAAGCUGGGAACACCGGAAGCACACUGAGUGACAUGAGUCCUGAAGCAGGGAAAGUCGACUAUACUUACACUACAACAAAUAGUAUCUCGUGUUCCUCACAGCUAAGAAGUUGCCCUGGCCUGUUUUUAAAAGAUCAGAUACUUGAGCAGGGGAGGACACAACAUGGGCAUGAAGUACUUGAACGUUACCAGUACUUUGCUACAGGAAGGAAGCCGUCACCCCUGGAUCGCGUGCUACCGUCAGGAAGAUGGGUUAGGGAGUGCCGAGCAUAA